This 464-nucleotide long non-coding RNA is filed under the name Coffea arabica (coffee). RNAcentral describes it as "long non-coding RNA (CARA_LNC004599)". Lineage: Eukaryota; Viridiplantae; Streptophyta; Magnoliopsida; Gentianales; Rubiaceae. The record is from RNAcentral.
CUUGUUGGCCGAAUUGAUGGUGAUGCAUUUCAUUUUGUUUUUCAACCUUUUCAUGUUGAGUUUUGGCCAAAUCUUGUUCCAAAUACUUGUUUAGACUCUUGUGUACUGCACUUACGCGAAAAACCAUGAAUUUUGGAAGGUGAAAACCUCAUGUUGUACUUGUUUCUUUUCUAAAAAUUCGAGUACGCUGGCAGCUAUGUACCCCGCUGUUUUUAGCCUUAAAAUCCUUUAGUUUGGCAGUCUUUUGGUUCAAUCUUGUUCAUAUCACUUGUUAAAACCAAUCUUGUUCAUAUCACUUGUUAAAACCUUGAAUUACAAUGGUGUGUUGAAUUGGAGUGAAUCUAAUAACUUAAAAAGGUGAACCACCUUGAUUUCUUCACUGUUUUGCUGCUAAAAAUUUCCAGCAAUGAAAUGAAAUAAUGAACACUUUGGUUGCUCAUGUUUCUUGGGUCCAAAUGCUUUCC